This 1033-nucleotide long non-coding RNA is filed under the name Homo sapiens (human). Its description in RNAcentral is "HSALNT0100494". The record is from RNAcentral. Lineage: Eukaryota; Metazoa; Chordata; Mammalia; Primates; Hominidae.
AAAAUUUAUUAUUAGAUACUCAAUUCUUCACUCAGAGUCACAUGAAUUUAUUUCUGAAUAAGCCCAUCCUAUAGAAUUAUAAACCCACACUACCUAAAAGCUGGGUUCUACCUUCCCCACAAUUGAACUGAAUUCCUACUCCUGCAAUUGGCUUUUUAAAAUUAUGCAUGGAGCCCGCUAGGGGAGGAAUCUGAGGCCAAUACAUGCUCCAGCGAAGUGACAGCUCCUCAACGGCUCCCUCCAGGAGACAAGCAACCUGCCCUCAGUGCUCAGCCUGCCUGCUGGAACCCGAGACCUCUGCACUGCAGGUGCAGCACGCGUUGCUGAUGCCACGCAAGUGUAGAAGGGGGUCUGUAGGAAGACCACCAGCUCUAGGGACUGCAGGGGUGGGGCCUGAGUGGGUUAGGUCACCUGGGACUGGGAUGCUUGUGAUUGGUCAAGGGAGUGCUGAUCCUUGGAGAACUUACAAAAAAGGGAGGCAAACGAAAUAGGGCAGGGGAUGGGUCACUCCGAGACACUUGCUUCUCACCCCAAUAUCCUUACGUAAACUUUAACUUUGCUUAUACAUUUGCCUGAUUUCCGUUUUUAAGCCACUCAGUGCCUCUUUGGAGCCAACUCACACAGGCUCUAAAGAGAAGAGUAUCAAACACCCAGAAAUUUUGCAAGCCAGUUGUUAAGCUAUUGGCAAUUUGAAAUUGGCCACAGUGGGAGUAUUUUUUACACCACAGAUAUUGGCAAAUGUUACAAAUCAGGGUUGCUGAAGGAUUUUGGUCCAUAGAGCUGACUUUCCACUGCACCAAGUCAUUCUCCAUUGACUUUGCUUUCCUCCAGCAUGGUCUGACACGUUCCUGCCGGGAUUGUGGGCAGCUGCCCCUUGCUGUCUUUCUAACAUUAGCCCAUGCAUCUGUAAUCUUUCUGUGGGAACCACUGUUCUUCUGCCCUGCCCUUUUGUAAACUCUCCCCACUUGGAACGCAAAGUGAAAAUGAAGCCCUCGCUGCCAGAAACAGGGACACAGAGAAACACCUUGGAAAC